UCCAAGCAUUGGAAAACUGUCCGAAGAAA
This 29-nucleotide non-coding RNA is filed under the name Mus musculus (house mouse). Lineage: Eukaryota; Metazoa; Chordata; Mammalia; Rodentia; Muridae. The record is from RNAcentral.